GAAGGAUCAUUUCAUGUUCAAACUCCCUCAUGCCUGUCUCAUACAAUCCAACCAGAGACACAACCUCAUCGCGCUAGAAAUCUCCUCUGGCGGCGGCGGAGGUCCAAAUGACCUCCCAUAUACACCGACAUGAUCGUCUCCACUCCCUCUUCCUUAAUAUCAAACUGAUUUUUCUUAAUUCCUAAUAUAGAGCCUAAAUCGAACCCAACACCAUAUGAACCCUAAAAUGGAAAAUCAGAGAUUAAAAGGCAUGAAGGAGGAGUCAAAGCCUAUAGUGUUAGGGAUUUGAUUCCUCGAGUCUCAAGUUACAUCAUGGUAAUGCAAUCAAUUCAUUCUGGCAAAGAAAUCGAAGCACUCAUCGACGAGGCGGAUAAUUGCCCCAGAGUCGUAGGAGUUGACGAAGAAUGAAUAUGAAGAAUGGAAGAAGCUCAAUGCUACAGGGUUGAUAUGCAUGAAAUGAAGUGACCUUUGCAUGACAUGUAGAUUUGGCAAGGCAUGGAUCAAGAGGCUUUCAUGAAGAUACAUUGAUGACUUGAAGAUCUAUGAAGGAUUUUGGACAAAAGGGGGUGGCUACAGAGAAUAAUGAGAAUUAGGGUUCAAGAUAGGUAGUUGACUUUGGUCAACUGUUUGACCAAAAAGUCAACAGUUGACCAAAAGUUAACCUAGGUCAAAAUUAGGGUUUUCUUUGUGUAAUUUUGUAUGGACUUGAAAUGGAUGGUUGAAAUGUAAACUUGAUGAUUUGUAAUAAGAAAUAGCCUUUGAAAAGAAUUGUAA
Lathyrus oleraceus (garden pea) is the source of this 774-nucleotide long non-coding RNA. RefSeq lists it as uncharacterized. The record is from RefSeq and is a predicted model, not a curated record. Lineage: Eukaryota; Viridiplantae; Streptophyta; Magnoliopsida; Fabales; Fabaceae. The transcript is spliced from 2 exons.